RNAcentral lists this ribosomal RNA (475 nucleotides) under uncultured Desulfobulbus sp. RNAcentral's name for it is "bacterial SSU rRNA". It matches the Rfam family "Bacterial small subunit ribosomal RNA", at positions 916 to 1381 of the family's 1533-position model. The record is from RNAcentral. Lineage: Bacteria; Pseudomonadati; Thermodesulfobacteriota; Desulfobulbia; Desulfobulbales; Desulfobulbaceae.
GGACGGGGCCCGCACAAGCGGUGGAGUAUGUGUUUAAUUCGAUGCAACGCGAAGAACCUUACCUGGUCUUGACAUCCCGGAGACCCUUAGGAAACUAGGGGGUGCUUCCAUCUGGAAGAAUCUGGAGACAGGUGCUGCAUGGCUGUCGUCAGCUCGUGUCGUGAGAUGUUGGGUUAAGUCCCGCAACGAGCGCAACCCUUGCCUUUAGUUGCCAGCAGUUCGGCUGGGCACUCUAAAGGGACUGCCGGUGUUAAACCGGAGGAAGGUGGGGAUGACGUCAAGUCCUCAUGGCCUUUAUGACCAGGGCUACACACGUACUACAAUGGCCGAUACAAAGGGCAGCGACACUGCGAGGUGAAGCCAAUCCCGUAAAAUCGGUCUCAGUCCGGAUUGGAGUCUGCAACUCGACUCCAUGAAGUUGGAAUCGCUAGUAAUCGUGGAUCAGCAUGCCACGGUGAAUACGUUCCCGGGCCUU